Molecule: non-coding RNA, 72 nt
Organism: Phrynosoma platyrhinos (Desert horned lizard)
Lineage: Eukaryota; Metazoa; Chordata; Lepidosauria; Squamata; Phrynosomatidae
Source: the annotation of a GenBank genome assembly
GCCAGUGUGGUGUAGUGGGUUGAGUGCUGAACUACAAUCCUGGAGACCAGGGUUCGAUGCCCAGCUCUGCCA